CAGCAGCCGCGGUAAUGCAGAGGAUGCAAGCGUUAUCCGGAAUGAUUGGGCGUAAAGCGUCUGUAGGUGGCUCUUCAAGUCCGCCGUCAAAUCCCAGGGCUCAACCCUGGACAGGCGGUGGAGACUACCAAGCUGGAGUACGGUAGGGGCAGAGGGAAUUUCCGGUGGAGCGGUGAAAUGCGUUGAGAUCGGAAAGAACACCAACGGAGAAAGCACUCCGCUGGGCCGACACUGACACUGAGAGACGAAAUCUAGGGGAGCAAAUGGGAUUAGAUACCCGCGUAGUCCCUGUCUCUUAUAC
Molecule: ribosomal RNA, 301 nt
Filed under: uncultured bacterium
Lineage: Bacteria
Description: partial 16S ribosomal RNA
Rfam family: Bacterial small subunit ribosomal RNA
Source: RNAcentral